This 863-nucleotide ribosomal RNA is filed under the name Setoseptoria arundinacea. Its description in RNAcentral is "SSU rRNA". It matches the Rfam family "Eukaryotic small subunit ribosomal RNA", at positions 191 to 1060 of the family's 1831-position model. The record is from RNAcentral. Lineage: Eukaryota; Fungi; Ascomycota; Dothideomycetes; Pleosporales; Lentitheciaceae.
UUCGGAAGGGGUGUAUUUAUUAGAUAAAAAACCAAUGCCCUUCGGGGCUCCUUGGUGAUUCAUAAUAACUUCUCAGAUCGCAUGGCCUUGCGCCGGCGACGGUUCAUUCAAAUUUCUGCCCUAUCAACUUUCGAUGGUAAGGUAUUGGCUUACCAUGGUUUCAACGGGUAACGGGGAAUUAGGGUUCGAUUCCGGAGAGGGAGCCUGAGAAACGGCUACCACAUCCAAGGAAGGCAGCAGGCGCGCAAAUUACCCAAUCCCGACACGGGGAGGUAGUGACAAUAAAUACUGAUACAGGGCUCUUUUGGGUCUUGUAAUUGGAAUGAGUACAAUUUAAACCUCUUAACGAGGAACAAUUGGAGGGCAAGUCUGGUGCCAGCAGCCGCGGUAAUUCCAGCUCCAAUAGCGUAUAUUAAAGUUGUUGCAGUUAAAAAGCUCGUAGUUGAACCUUUGGCCUGGCUGGCAGGUCCGCCUCACCGCGUGCACUUGUCCGGCCGGGCCUUCUCUUCUGGAGAACCGCAUGCCCUUCACUGGGUGUGUUGGGGACCAGGACUUUUACUUUGAAAAAAUUAGAGUGUUCAAAGCAGGCCUUUGCUCGAAUACGUUAGCAUGGAAUAAUAGAAUAGGACGUGCGGUCCUAUUUUGUUGGUUUCUAGGACCGCCGUAAUGAUUAAUAGGGACAGUCGGGGGCAUCAGUAUUCAAUUGUCAGAGGUGAAAUUCUUGGAUUUAUUGAAGACUAACUACUGCGAAAGCAUUUGCCAAGGAUGUUUUCAUUAAUCAGUGAACGAAAGUUAGGGGAUCGAAGACGAUCAGAUACCGUCGUAGUCUUAACCAUAAACUAUGCCGACUAGGGAUCGGGCGG